GUGGGGAAUAUUGGACAAUGGGCGAAAGCCUGAUCCAGUCAUGCCGCGUGUGUGAAGAAGGUCUUCGGAUUGUAAAGCACUUUAAGUUGGGAGGAAGGGCAUUAACCUAAUACGUUAGUGUUUUGACGUUACCGACAGAAUAAGCACCGGCUAACUUCGUGCCAGCAGCCGCGGUAAUACGAAGGGUGCAAGCGUUAAUCGGAAUUACUGGGCGUAAAGCGCGCGUAGGUGGUUCGUUAAGUUGGAUGUGAAAGCCCCGGGCUCAACCUGGGAACUGCAUCCAAAACUGGCGAGCUAGAGUACGGUAGAGGGUGGUGGAAUUUCCUGUGUAGCGGUGAAAUGCGUAGAUAUAGGAAGGAACACCAGUGGCGAAGGCGACCACCUGGACUGAUACUGACACUGAGGUGCGAAAGCGUGGGGAGCAAACAGGAUUAGAAACCCCAGUAGUCC
This 450-nucleotide ribosomal RNA is filed under the name uncultured bacterium. RNAcentral describes it as "partial 16S ribosomal RNA". It matches the Rfam family "Bacterial small subunit ribosomal RNA", at positions 354 to 796 of the family's 1533-position model. The record is from RNAcentral.